RNAcentral lists this long non-coding RNA (1453 nucleotides) under Rattus norvegicus (Norway rat). RNAcentral describes it as "long non-coding RNA NONRATT009776". Lineage: Eukaryota; Metazoa; Chordata; Mammalia; Rodentia; Muridae. The record is from RNAcentral.
CUCACCAAGAGGAGAAGAAAAAGGUGGAAGACAAGAAGAAGGAGCUUGAGGAGGAGGUGAGCAACUUCCAGAAGAAGAAGGCGGCGGCUCAGCUCUUGCAGUCGCAGGCCCAGCAGUCUGGGGCCCAGCAGACCAAGAAGGACAAGGAUAAGAAAAAUGCAAGCUUCGCAUAAAGGCCUGGCAAGCCAAGGACGCUCCCGCAUUCACCUGCUUUGGCAGUAGUAGCGUACCUCUGUCAUCUGUGUCCUGUUUGAUUCAUUGUUUCAGCCUUUCCCCAGAUACCAGUAACUUAGCUCAUUUUACUGAACGAUGUCAGGUGGUGGGAAACUAGCACAGGGGACGUCAGCAAGCGCACGCGCAGCUGGACUUUGUUUCUGGAAAGUUGAUGAUUUGCCUUGUAUGCCUGUUCCAAGUGGCAGCAGGAAGCAUGUCUGUCACUUGUAUGUCGCUUUGGACCAAGGAAAGCGGGGUAAAAUAACUACCUGUAUGUCUGGAGGGAAAACUCACUGCCUCAGCAGCUGAGCUAAAACCCUGAGUAGCCAUGGCAACAACUUGCAUUUUCUUAAUUGUGCGUCUCAUGCUUGCCCAACCCCUGAAUUCAUCGUCCCUUCUUUAGACUUGCCACAAACCAGAGGUGGGCAAGAAAGUCAGCAGAAACAUGAGCGAGCGUCCAAGACAGCUUUUCCCCCUCUUCCGGCUUUUUCAUUUAAUCGCUUGCUUACUUGGCCCAAGCCUAUGAUUUGCUCAGGCUGUCUUAGGGAUGGAGUCUGCCUCUGAGUGCCCACUGUCCAGCAGGCCCAAAGCUACAGACUGGCAUAAGAAACAGGAUUCCGUUCACCUCACCGGCGAGUCCCUGGUGUCCUCAUGAGUCCAGAUCUUAAAGACCCCCUCAUUAGGUAUUGCUUAGCUAAAGAAUCUUCUAUUAAGGACAUUAUAUACUCAGCACCCCUUCUACACGCGCGCGCGCGCGCACACACACACACACACACACACACACACACACACACACACACACACACACACACACACACACACACGCGCGCGCGCCACAUGGGUGCUUUGCUUUAAGAAGGCUGACGGGAGACCUGGAGGCUGAUUCUACUUCUAAUAGAAGUUUUCAUGAAUCACCAUGAGAAAACUUGCAAUACAGAAAGGAUGACGGUAGCAGGGGGGUGAUCGGACAGUGCCGCCACUAUUCAAAGUAGAGAUCAAUUAGGCUGAUACCGGCCUCCAGUCCAGCUCCUUGCUGAUGUUGAAACUCAGUUGCCGCUAAGGAGUUUUCCUUACUGUCUCCUCACUGUGACCUGCUCUGACUCUUGGGUCCAUCAGUUUCUCUCAACUUACCCCAGAUGAGGAUUAACUCAGGAGCUAGGACAUGUCCUGCCUGCCUGCUUGUGUGAGAACAAUUGUCUGUCCUGUCCUCCUCUCUCUGCCACUCCUCCUGUCACCUGCU